AGGAAGGCGGGGACGACGUCAAGUCAUCAUGGCCCUUACGGCCAGGGCUACACACGUGCUACAAUGGUCGGUACAAAGGGUUGCUACACAGCGAUGUGAUGCUAAUCUCAAAAAGCCGAUCGUAGUCCGGAUUGGAGUCUGCAACUCGACUCCAUGAAGUCGGAAUCGCUAGUAAUCGCGGAUCAGAAUGCCGCGGUGAAUACGUUCCCGGGCCUUGUACACACCGCCCGUCACACCAUGGGAGUUUGUUGCACCAGAAGUAGCUAGCCUAACUGCAAAGAGGGCGGUUACCACGGUGUGGCCGAUGACUGGGGUGAAGUCGUAACAAGGUAGCCGUAGGGGAACCUGCGGCUGGAUCACCUCCUUA
This 367-nucleotide ribosomal RNA is filed under the name Acinetobacter baumannii. RNAcentral's name for it is "bacterial SSU rRNA". It matches the Rfam family "Bacterial small subunit ribosomal RNA", at positions 1167 to 1533 of the family's 1533-position model. Lineage: Bacteria; Pseudomonadati; Pseudomonadota; Gammaproteobacteria; Moraxellales; Moraxellaceae. The record is from RNAcentral.